UCUGAAUCAAGUGAAGAUAGCGAACUCGAGAAUUCUGUAAAAUGCACUGGUGAGGUUUUGUUAAUCAACAAUACUGUAUAACUCCUUACUAAGAAAAAUCAAAAAGUACCAUAUUUUUUAAUUUCUUGGUCUGUCUAUAUAUAGUAUAUGAAAUUGCAAAAAUUAGUUGAUUGUACUUACCGGUGAUAAACAACAGCUAAAAAGAAUAAUAUCUUAAAAAUUGCUGCGUAAUUGCCGAAAAUGAAAAUAUUGCUAAAGUGGAAUAUUUUGCGUCAAAUAAAUGAAAUUAUUGUACUUGAACACGAAAGUUUAUUUGAUACAACUCGCAGACAGCUUAGAUCCGAAAUCAUCGUAUCCGUUUUCACAAUAUUUAUUUCCAUAUUCUUGAAAUUGGAGUCCGAAAAUAUACAGAAACUAAUAAAAAGAAAUAGAUUAUCUUAAUCCCUAUAAUACUUAAUAAUUAUUAAUUCGCUAUUCGUCGUUAGCCCGUGGAAAAUCCACGGGUUCGCCCGUCCUUUUUAUACCGCAUUGCGUGCUUCUCGCUAUUGCGCAGCUAAGCUACCAUUUUGCGUGACAGACAGACAGACAGACGUAAACGGGUAUUAUAAUAUAGAUAAUUAACCUUUUUAAAAUAUGGAAAAAAAUUCAUUAAAGAAAUACUGAAAUAAAGAAAUGAAAAUGAUAAUAAAGAUGGCGGAAUUAAUGUUUGCGAAUUUGUUUUCACAAACCAAAAUUCCACAAAUUACCAGACAAGGGCGGACAUCCGCAAAGUUGAGAUUCCAACAAUCUGAUUAAAGAUUUUCAAUUGCAACUAAAUGAGACUAUUCGUAACUUUUUUAUUUCGCAUAUUUCAUACAAUUUUUGAAAGCAUCCAUCCGCAAAAAUUGCUUCCGCGACAAUUUCUUCUCUUCUAUUGGAGGACGAAAUAAGAAUGAAAUCAUUGAAAUUUGUAUGCCCUUUUCGUGUAUAAAUUAAUCUUGUAAUGUUUUCUUUUACAGGUCAACAAGAAAGAAAAUACAUUCAAUGGUCGUCAGAGCAAGAGGAUAAACUAUACAAAAAAUUUGCAAGACAUAUAAAAAAUAAAAAAAAUGGAUGGCCUUGCUCUGAUGAUCUGAAAACAUUCGCCAACGAGGAAGGAAUUACUGUUGGAACUGUUCGAAAUAAAAUUAACAAUGAAAGAGGAAAAAUAGCACGACAAGCGGAAGCGAAAAAAAAGAAAAUGAACAUUGUUUAAUUGUGAUAGAGCUUUGGUUUCUUUUAUUUUUAUUAUUUUUACGUUACCAUAAAAGUACAUGUUUAUAAUUAUUUAUUAUGUUUACAAAAGUACAUUUAUAAAAACAUGUACACUAUACAUGUUUUUAUAAAUAAUGUGACAGCUUUUAUCAUCAUCAAAUUUUCUUGAGUAUACUCUAAAAAAUUCAAGUCUAAACAACACAUCACUCCGUCACCCCUUAGACGGGGAGAAAGGCAAGAAAAAGUGUUAAAGUCACGAGGAUAAUUUCUAUACAGGUUUCAAUCAUGUUUUAACAAUCAAAAUGUAUGAUCAACGAUAAUUUAAUUCAACUCUCCCCCCUCUCCCAUGAAAAAUAUUUUGAACUGUGUGGUUUUCAUAACUGUAUGUGAUAAGAAAACUGGCUCUCAUAAGUGAAGUAUAUCUUUUAAGGGGAUUAAUUUUCGCGGGUAUUAAGUUUCGCGGUUUUUUCGGAGUUUUUCCAAAAACGCGAAAAUACGUCGCCGCGAAAAGUUUAAAUAUCCCUGAUCUGGGAAAUUUCCAAAUCGGCCUGAUACAAAAGACAAUGAUGUAUAACUUUCUCUGGGACAUUUUCCUUUCUCUUCUGUAUGUUGUUUCGAAAUAACUCACCGGAAUAGUUGUUUUUCCAAAUUUGCAUAAUUCGCAAAAAUAAGUUACCGCGAAAUUUUCUUCAACACUAAAUUUGUGAAAAUAAAUUCCCUUUUUUCCCGCCAAAUUCUAGUAAAAAAAAAUUCUGCGAAAAUAAGUCCCCGCGAAAAUUAAUUCCCUGAAGGUAUCUUGUUUACACAGUUAUUUCUCGUUUAUUCGUGAUAUAGUUCGUACAAGGUGAUACAUUUAGGAAGGUUUAAGGCGUUAAACAGAUUAUCAUUUAGCGUACGUUUCUUGAUUUCUCAGUCCUUCCUUACGCAGCCCCAUUAUAUAACUAGUGUCAAAUGAGAAAAAGGAAAAGGAAGUUAAUUUCUGUGGAAUUAGUAAGAUAUAACUGCUUGGUUAUCCAGGUUCGUUUAUUUAAAUUCGAAGAAGCAGCAAAUGAUUAAUCGUUUUUUGUUUUUUUGUUUGCAUAUAAAAAUGUAUGAAAAUACUGAAUUUUAUGUGUUUACCCUUUUUUUUCAUUUUUACCCUUGUUCUGUUGUUUUUAAUAACGCAUAUUAUAGAUUUAGGUGUUCUUCUUUCUUUUUUGAUUUUUGUUAUGUUCAAAGGAGUCUAUUACUACGCAUGUCAUGUGUUUGGAAGUUUCAGGAAUACACUUUUAUUUUGA
Hydractinia symbiolongicarpus is the source of this 2510-nucleotide long non-coding RNA. RefSeq lists it as uncharacterized. The record is from RefSeq and is a predicted model, not a curated record. Lineage: Eukaryota; Metazoa; Cnidaria; Hydrozoa; Anthoathecata; Hydractiniidae. The transcript is spliced from 2 exons.